ACAUGCAAGUCGAACGCGAAAGCCCUUUCGGGGCGAGUAGAGUGGCGAACGGGUGAGUAAAACGUGGGUAACCUGCCCCUCGCAGGGGGAUAACCGGAGGAAACUCCGGCUAAUAACCCCGUACGCUCCGGGGUCCGCAUGGUCUCCGGAGGAAAGGUAGCUUCGGCCAUCCGGCGAGGGAUGGGCCCGCGGCGCAUUAGCUAGUUGGUGGGGUAACGGCUCACCAAGGCGACGAUGCGUAGCUGGUCUGAGAGGAUGAUCAGCCACACUGGGACUGAGACACGGCCCAGACUCCUACGGGAGGCAGCAGUCGGGAAUCUUGCGCAAUGGGCGAAAGCCUGACGCAGCAACGCCGUGUGGGCGAUGAAGGCCUUCGGGUCGUAAAGCCCUGUUGUUGGGGACGAAGGGCGAAGGGUUAAUAGCCCCUAGCCUGACGAUGCCCUUCGAGGAAGCCCCGGCUAACUACGUGCCAGCAGCCGCGGUAAUACGUAGGGGGCGAGCGUUGUCCGGAAUUAUUGGGCGUAAAGAGCGUGUAGGCGGUUCGGUAAGUCUGCUGUGAAAACCCGGGGCUCAACCCCGGGCGUGCAGUGGAUACUGCCGGGCUAGAGGGCGGUAGAGGCGAGUGGAUUCCCGGUGUAGCGGUGAAAUGCGCAGAUAUCGGGAGGAACACCAGUAGCGAAGGCGGCUCGCUGGGCCGUUCCUGACGCUGAGACGCGAAAGCUAGGGGAGCGAACAGGAUUAGAUACCCUGGUAGUCCUAGCCGUAAACGAUGGGCACUAGGUGUGGGGGGAGUCGAAUCUCUCCGUGCCGCAGCCAACGCGUUAAGUGCCCCGCCUGGGGAGUACGGCCGCAAGGCUAAAACUCAAAGAAUUGACGGGGGCCCGCACAAGCAGCGGAGCAUGUUCUUUAAUUCGAUGCAACGCGAAGAACCUACCUGGGCUUGACAUGGCGCUGCAAGCGCACGGAAACGUGUGACCUUCGAGGGUGCACCACAGGUG
RNAcentral lists this ribosomal RNA (998 nucleotides) under uncultured bacterium. Its description in RNAcentral is "bacterial SSU rRNA". It matches the Rfam family "Bacterial small subunit ribosomal RNA", at positions 53 to 1040 of the family's 1533-position model. The record is from RNAcentral.